This is a long non-coding RNA of Bombus impatiens (common eastern bumble bee), 170 nucleotides long. RefSeq lists it as uncharacterized. The record is from RefSeq and is a predicted model, not a curated record. Lineage: Eukaryota; Metazoa; Arthropoda; Insecta; Hymenoptera; Apidae. The transcript has 2 exons.
AUUUCAAAAAGAGGAAACAAGUAACUUUCAGCAAAUUCGAGCAAAUUCUAUAAAUAGUAAUGGUUCUGUAAUUGAAUCAGAAAUUGUUACCAGUUCUGUUACCAAGGCAAAUGUACAGUGCGAGCGCUUCGUUAACGGGGUAUAACACGGUUGUAUACAGUACAACACAA